RNAcentral lists this ribosomal RNA (446 nucleotides) under Nobia grandis. Its description in RNAcentral is "partial 16S ribosomal RNA". It matches the Rfam family "Bacterial large subunit ribosomal RNA", at positions 1933 to 2590 of the family's 2925-position model. The record is from RNAcentral. Lineage: Eukaryota; Metazoa; Arthropoda; Thecostraca; Balanomorpha; Pyrgomatidae.
GCAGUAUUCUAACUGUGCUAAGGUAGCAUAANNNUUAGUCUUUUAAUUGGAGACUGGUAUGAAUGGCUAAACGAGAAAUUGACUUUUUUUGUUAUAAAAAUCAAAUUUAAUUUUUUAGUGAAAAAGCUAAAAUUUUUCAGAAAGACGAGAAGACCCUAUAGAGUUUUAUAUUAAUUUUAUAUUUAUUUUUAGUAGAUUUUCAAAAAAUUAGUAUAAAAAAAUAUUUUGUUGGGGCGACAUUUAGAUAAAAAAAACUCUUUUUAAAAAAAAUUUUUGUAAAAAUAUUUUUUGAUCCUUUAAAAAAGAUCAAAAGAAAAAAUUACCUUAGGGAUAACAGCGUAAUCUUUUUUUAGAGUUCUAAUCGACAAAAAGGUUUGCGACCUCGAUGUUGGACUAAAAUUUAGGCAGGGUGCAGCAGUUCUGCUUUUAGGUCUGUUCGACCUAUA